Molecule: long non-coding RNA, 414 nt
Filed under: Struthio camelus australis
Lineage: Eukaryota; Metazoa; Chordata; Aves; Struthioniformes; Struthionidae
Description: lncRNA (ENSSCUG00000014454.1)
Source: RNAcentral
AUUUCCCCCUUAUUUCCACAUACAGCACAUCUACUCCUAAGGAAAGUGGAACAUGUUCAUGCAAGACAUCAUGAGAUGACAGUACAGAAUACAGUUUCCAGCGUUGUUUUUUUAUUAGCAGUAGCUUCCAAGCAAGAUCUACAAACCCUAAAGAACUUGGAAGACAGAGAUAAAGAAGGAAAGUUUGGAAGAAGAACCCAUGAGUCAAUCUGUAUGCUCAGAACUAGAAAGAUAGCAACAGCUGCAAUGUGUCUGUUGGGCUGUGCUAAGAAAAUGUGGAGCUCUAAGCAGAGUAUUAUUAUAAACUCCUUCCUGGGGCUAACAUCUUUCCUGAUACGCCCUGUCAACUUUUGGGUUAGAUCGACUUGGGAUAUGGAUCUCCUGUUGUCUUAUCUCUACCUAUCAGAUAAUUAA